Molecule: long non-coding RNA, 1919 nt
Filed under: Lotus japonicus
Lineage: Eukaryota; Viridiplantae; Streptophyta; Magnoliopsida; Fabales; Fabaceae
Description: long non-coding RNA (LJAP_LNC001458)
Source: RNAcentral
CGGAAGCAACUUCAUCGCAAUCGUCCUCAGCGUCUCUAUCUCGAGCGAUUUCUGGAUCGAAAAGGAAGUAAUCGUACUUGUCAGUUACAGUGUCAGGGGGUUUUCCGUCGAGAGCUUCGGCUAUGAGGCCGAAGGGUUUGAACUCGCCCAGUAACGAUAAGCGACGCUCGCCUAUGGACAUUUUCGGAGCUCACAGUGAAGGUGGAGAAUGGUGGUGUGGAAAAUGUAUAUAUAUAUAUAUAUAUAUAUGUAAAGACUUAAAAAGAGCAUGAAAUCAACGAUGGAACGGAAGCAUGAGACAUAUACUCAACUUCCUUCUAAAUCAAAACGAAAUGAAGAAGAACAUGCAUAUUUUUGGAAGAAUAAAGGAUUGUUAGUUAUUUUAUUUUUGUUCUACAUCAAUAGAGGUAAGGAUACCUGCUUCCACUAAGUAAAUAAAGUUUGUAAGAAAUAAAGCCAAGUUAGUUUAUUUAGUAUGCUUACCAGAUGUAUUAUAGAUCAUCAAACAUUUAUUUUGUAAUACACAUAGAAGAGCUUCAGCUGUAUGACCCAGAUGACACCAGCAUACCUAUCAUUUCAUGAUAACAAAAAAUAGUUAGAUUAAAACUGUUCACAUGAAUCAAAAGAUAGCUAGUUUAUUUGUAGCAAGCUUGAUGCAUAUGACACAAGCUUAAGUUAACGUAAGUAUCAAUCACAUGUAAUUUUGAGCAGCUUUUACUCAUUCCCAGGAACUGAGUAUAUUUGAUAGCUAGAUGUUAGUGAAAAUUAUACGCAUCCUCGUUUCUAUUAUAAAUAAUCCAUACUUUCAACUGAAAAUUGCUCAUAAAACUCUAAUCCUUGCCAUCCAAACUUUCUGGAUUCAGUGUUGCAGCCCAGAAAUUCCAGCUACCACUUACCUGAAGAUUUGCCUUUCAUCUUCUAAAACACUAACUCCCAACCUGCAACUAUACUCACUCGAUUCCAUCCAAUUUGCACGGGAAUUCAAACUAAGCAUGUGACUACCAUAUUUUCUAAACACUGGGCUGGCCUCAAACUCUGUUUCUCUAGGUGAGUAUACUAUGGAAUGAAGAAGAUUAAAGUGAACAUUGACAAAAGCAAGUACAUUGAAACAGAACAGGAGAACUUAAAUUUGACACAUCCAUCUACAAAAAUGUGUGCCAGUAAAUUUCUUGAUGGAACAUGUAGAGCAUUUUCUCUACAGUCUCAAACUAGUAGCUUUGACUUCCCGCUUAACGAAAAAAUUGCAAAGAAAAAUUCCCAAAAUUUUAAAAAAUGUCCACAAAAGAAACAAUAACCUUCCUUCACCAACCAAGGAAAAUCGAGUCGUACGAAAGCGACAAUUGUAAGAGGUCAAGGAAACCAAACUAUAGGCAUGAAAGGUCGAAAAAACACACCUUAACGAUCGGAUGCGGCAAGGUAAAUCGCUUAAAAACUCUCGCGCCAAUCGACCAUAUAAUCCUGUAACAAGCACAUGUAAUUUCAGAUAAAGUGAUAAUCAUGCUCAGCAAAAACAACAACAGUAUUUGAAACUGAAAAUUGCAAAUCAACUGUUUAAUUUCUCUUUCCAUUUCCUAGUUGUUAGCUUCAGCAUCUUCACAAGCAACUAAGCACAGAAACAAGGGUUUAGGAAAGAAAGAAAUUACCGAUUCCCGCGGAUGAAAAGCUCGUGAUCGCCGCGAUUGUUCAAUGCGGAAGCAACUUCAUCGCAAUCGUCCUCAGCGUCUCUAUCUCGAGCGAUUUCUGGAUCGAAAAGGAAGUAAUCGUACUUGUCAGUUACAGUGUCAGGGGGUUUUCCGUCGAGAGCUUCGGCUAUGAGGCCGAAGGGUUUGAACUCGCCCAGUAACGAUAAGCGACGCUCGCCUAUGGACAUUUUCGGAGCUCACAGUGAAGGUGGAGAAUGGUGGUGUGGAAAAUGGAGG